This 449-nucleotide ribosomal RNA is filed under the name uncultured bacterium. Its description in RNAcentral is "partial 16S ribosomal RNA". It matches the Rfam family "Bacterial small subunit ribosomal RNA", at positions 29 to 523 of the family's 1533-position model. The record is from RNAcentral.
AACGAACGCUAGCGGCAUGCCUCACACAUGCAAGUCGAACGAGAUCUUCGGGUCUAGUGGCGCACGGGUGCGUAACGCGUGGGAAUCUGCCCUUUGGUUCGGAAUAACAGUUGGAAACGACUGCUAAUACCGGAUGAUGACGAAAGUCCAAAGAUUUAUCGCCAGUGGAUGAGCCCGUGUAGGAUUAGCUAGUUGGUGUGGUAAAGGCGCACCAAGGCGACGCUCCUUAGCUGGGCUGAGAGGAUGAUCAGCCACACUGGGACUGAGACACGGCCCAGACUCGUGCGGGAGGCAGCAGUGGUGAAUAUUGGACAAUGGGCGAAAGCCUAUUCCAGCAAUGCUGCGUGAGUGAUGAAGGCCUUAGGGUUGUAAAGCUCUUUUACCCGGGAUGAUAAUGACAGUACCGGGAGAAUAAGCUCCGGCUAACUCCGUGCCAGCCGCCACCGUAA